RNAcentral lists this ribosomal RNA (583 nucleotides) under uncultured bacterium. RNAcentral describes it as "partial 16S ribosomal RNA". It matches the Rfam family "Bacterial small subunit ribosomal RNA", at positions 355 to 1375 of the family's 1533-position model. The record is from RNAcentral.
UGGGGAAUUUUGGACAAUGGGCGAAAGCCUGAUCCAGCAAUGCCGCGUGUGUGAAGAAGGCCUUCGGGUUGUAAAGCACUUUUGUCCGGAAAGAAAUCCUUGGCUCUAAUACAGUCGGGGGAUGACGGUACCGGAAGAAUAAGCACCGGCUAACUACGUGCCAGCAGCCGCGGUAAUACGUAGGGUGCAAGCGUUAAUCGGAAUUACUGGGCGUAAAGCGUGCGCAGGCGGUUUGCUAAGACCGAUGUGAAAUCCCCGGGCUCAACCUGGGAACUGCAUUGGUGACUGGCAGGCUAGAGUAUGGCAGAGGGGGGUAGAAUUCCACGUGUAGCAGUGAAAUGCGUAGAGAUGUGGAGGAAUACCGAUGGCGAAGGCAGCCCCCUGGGCCAAUACUGACGCUCAUGCACGAAAGCGUGGGGAGCAAACAGGUUAGAUACCCUGGUAGUCCACGCCCUAAACGAUGUCAACUAGUUGUUGGGGAUUCAUUCCUUAGUAACGUAGCUAACGCGUGAAGUUGACCGCCUGGGGAGUACGGUCGCAAGAUUAAAACUUAAAUGAAUUGACGGGGUCAUAGCUGUUUCCU